UUUUGUUUUUUCUUGUUGGAUGAUGGUCGUUGUAAUCUCAGAUCAGUUGAUGACUUUGUUAAUUCAAAGUCAGGCCCUUCUUGAGCCUUCGUUCUAAAACAAAGUGUAUUAUAUAUCUUUUUCUUCUUGCUAUGAACUAUUGGUUUAAUGGGAGAUAUACAGAGUAUGGUGAUGGUUAAGUUCAGUCAGAAAAAUCAUAGACUUAAUAUAUCAUGCAAACAUGUAGCUUUAUUUAGACAAGUGCCUCAUUCAGGAACAUCUGUUCAUUAUUUCCAUGUUGCAAUUAGUACUAGGCACACAUGAUGAUGCAUGACAUUUUAUUUUGCCACUGCUAUAUUGAUCAACUAGCAGGUACCAUCGGUAUAGCUAGCUGUCAUGGUAAUGCUAUAGGGGGUGGUGGUGGUGGCUGGGCAUUGUACAGGGAUGUAGAUUUUGCACAUCGACGGUAGGGUGUGAAGUGACAUCCUCAGGCCCUCAAGUUGUACUUCCUGUUGUGGUUGGUGAUGUUGUUGUUGCCUGAUAGACUCUACCACAUUAUGAAUGGCUUGGCAGCGGAAUUGCUCUGGGAUCUGUGCUAGCUGCCG
This 584-nucleotide long non-coding RNA is filed under the name Triticum aestivum (bread wheat). RNAcentral's name for it is "long non-coding RNA (TAES_LNC017324)". The record is from RNAcentral. Lineage: Eukaryota; Viridiplantae; Streptophyta; Magnoliopsida; Poales; Poaceae.